Molecule: ribosomal RNA, 742 nt
Filed under: uncultured bacterium
Lineage: Bacteria
Description: bacterial SSU rRNA
Rfam family: Bacterial small subunit ribosomal RNA
Source: RNAcentral
AGCGGCGGACGGGUGAGUAACACGUGGGUAACCUGCCCAAGAGACUGGGAUAACACCUGGAAACAGAUGCUAAUACCGGAUAACAACACUAGACGCAUGUCUAGAGUUUGAAAGAUGGUUCUGCUAUCACUCUUGGAUGGACCUGCGGUGCAUUAGCUAGUUGGUAAGGUAACGGCUUACCAAGGCAAUGAUGCAUAGCCGAGUUGAGAGACUGAUCGGCCACAUUGGGACUGAGACACGGCCCAAACUCCUACGGGAGGCAGCAGUAGGGAAUCUUCCACAAUGGACGAAAGUCUGAUGGAGCAACGCCGCGUGAGUGAAGAAGGGUUUCGGCUCGUAAAGCUCUGUUGGUAGUGAAGAAAGAUAGAGGUAGCAACUGGCCUUUAUUUGACGGUAAUUACUUAGAAAGUCGCGGCUAACUACGUGCCAGCAGCCGCGGUAAUACGUAGGUGGCAAGCGUUGUCCGGAUUUAUUGGGCGUAAAGCGAGUGCAGGCGGUUCAAUAAGUCUGAUGUGAAAGCCUUCGGCUCAACCGGAGAAUUGCAUCAGAAACUGUUGAACUUGAGUGCAGAAGAGGAGAGUGGAACUCCAUGUGUAGCGGUGGAACGCGUAGAUAUAUGGAAGAACACCAGUGGCGAAGGCGGCUCUCUGGUCUGCAACUGACGCUGAGGCUCGAAAGCAUGGGUAGCGAACAGGAUUAGAUACCCUGGUAGUCCAUGCCGUAAACGAUGAGUGCUAAGUGU